RNAcentral lists this ribosomal RNA (1989 nucleotides) under Escherichia coli. RNAcentral describes it as "partial 23S ribosomal RNA". It matches the Rfam family "Bacterial large subunit ribosomal RNA", at positions 877 to 2843 of the family's 2925-position model. Lineage: Bacteria; Pseudomonadati; Pseudomonadota; Gammaproteobacteria; Enterobacterales; Enterobacteriaceae. The record is from RNAcentral.
GCGCCUCGUGAAUUCAUCUCCGGGGGUAGAGCACUGUUUCGGCAAGGGGGUCAUCCCGACUUACCAACCCGAUGCAAACUGCGAAUACCGGAGAAUGUUAUCACGGGAGACACACGGCGGGUGCUAACGUCCGUCGUGAAGAGGGAAACAACCCAGACCGCCAGCUAAGGUCCCAAAGUCAUGGUUAAGUGGGAAACGAUGUGGGAAGGCCCAGACAGCCAGGAUGUUGGCUUAGAAGCAGCCAUCAUUUAAAGAAAGCGUAAUAGCUCACUGGUCGAGUCGGCCUGCGCGGAAGAUGUAACGGGGCUAAACCAUGCACCGAAGCUGCGGCAGCGACGCUGAUGCGUUGUUGGGUAGGGGAGCGUUCUGUAAGCCUGUGAAGGUGUGCUGUGAGGCAUGCUGGAGGUAUCAGAAGUGCGAAUGCUGACAUAAGUAACGAUAAAGCGGGUGAAAAGCCCGCUCGCCGGAAGACCAAGGGUUCCUGUCCAACGUUAAUCGGGGCAGGGUGAGUCGACCCCUAAGGCGAGGCCGAAAGGCGUAGUCGAUGGGAAACAGGUUAAUAUUCCUGUACUUGGUGUUACUGCGAAGGGGGGACGGAGAAGGCUAUGUUGGCCGGGCGACGGUUGUCCCGGUUUAAGCGUGUAGGCUGGUUUUCCAGGCAAAUCCGGAAAACUAAGGCUGAGGCGUGAUGACGAGGCACUACGGUGCUGAAGCAACAAAUGCCCUGCUUCCAGGAAAAGCCUCUAAGCAUCAGGUAACAUCAAAUCGUACCCCAAACCGACACAGGUGGUCAGGUAGAGAAUACCAAGGCGCUUGAGAGAACUCGGGUGAAGGAACUAGGCAAAAUGGUGCCGUAACUUCGGGAGAAGGCACGCUGAUAUGUAGGUGAAGUCCCUCGCGGAUGGAGCUGAAAUCAGUCGAAGAUACCAGCUGGCUGCAACUGUUUAUUAAAAACACAGCACUGUGCAAACACGAAAGUGGACGUAUACGGUGUGACGCCUGCCCGGUGCCGGAAGGUUAAUUGAUGGGGUCAGCGCAAGCGAAGCUCUUGAUCGAAGCCCCGGUAAACGGCGGCCGUAACUAUAACGGUCCUAAGGUAGCGAAAUUCCUUGUCGGGUAAGUUCCGACCUGCACGAAUGGCGUAAUGAUGGCCAGGCUGUCUCCACCCGAGACUCAGUGAAAUUGAACUCGCUGUGAAGAUGCAGUGUACCCGCGGCAAGACGGAAAGACCCCGUGAACCUUUACUAUAGCUUGACACUGAACAUUGAGCCUUGAUGUGUAGGAUAGGUGGGAGGCUUUGAAGUGUGGACGCCAGUCUGCAUGGAGCCGACCUUGAAAUACCACCCUUUAAUGUUUGAUGUUCUAACGUUGACCCGUAAUCCGGGUUGCGGACAGUGUCUGGUGGGUAGUUUGACUGGGGCGGUCUCCUCCUAAAGAGUAACGGAGGAGCACGAAGGUUGGCUAAUCCUGGUCGGACAUCAGGAGGUUAGUGCAAUGGCAUAAGCCAGCUUGACUGCGAGCGUGACGGCGCGAGCAGGUGCGAAAGCAGGUCAUAGUGAUCCGGUGGUUCUGAAUGGAAGGGCCAUCGCUCAACGGAUAAAAGGUACUCCGGGGAUAACAGGCUGAUACCGCCCAAGAGUUCAUAUCGACGGCGGUGUUUGGCACCUCGAUGUCGGCUCAUCACAUCCUGGGGCUGAAGUAGGUCCCAAGGGUAUGGCUGUUCGCCAUUUAAAGUGGUACGCGAGCUGGGUUUAGAACGUCGUGAGACAGUUCGGUCCCUAUCUGCCGUGGGCGCUGGAGAACUGAGGGGGGCUGCUCCUAGUACGAGAGGACCGGAGUGGACGCAUCACUGGUGUUCGGGUUGUCAUGCCAAUGGCACUGCCCGGUAGCUAAAUGCGGAAGAGAUAAGUGCUGAAAGCAUCUAAGCACGAAACUUGCCCCGAGAUGAGUUCUCCCUGACUCCUUGAGAGUCCUGAAGGAACGUUGAAG